RNAcentral lists this long non-coding RNA (452 nucleotides) under Ananas comosus (pineapple). RNAcentral describes it as "long non-coding RNA (ACOM_LNC005971)". Lineage: Eukaryota; Viridiplantae; Streptophyta; Magnoliopsida; Poales; Bromeliaceae. The record is from RNAcentral.
AAGAAUUGUUUUUUUUUAAGUGUAAUGGUUGCUUAUUCUAGCUAUGUAGAUGGGGACGAUUGCUUAUAUAUCUCUGAAAAGUUUUCGACUUUCUAAUUUACCUCUCUUAGAAGACUAAUAUUAAACAUAUUCAAGUUAUAUCAAAUAUACCUUUAGAGUUAAAUUCGGUUAGUAAACUGUUAGCAACAACUAUUAUCUCUGUAAAAUUAUUAUUUUGCCUUUUUAGAGAUACUCUUCUACUAUCACUAUUUUUUUUUUUAUUUGCUCUUAAGGAAGGGGCAAAAGAAGUAUUUUGAUGAUUUGUGCGCGCUGAUAGUACGUAACUAUACUUCCAUGCUUUCCAUGAAAUCAUUCAUUCUAGAACUAUUCUAGUUUGAGGAGGAGGAGAGAGAAGGCGCGCGUGAGAGAGAGAGAGAGAGAGAGAGAGAGAUUGAAAAGAAAAUUAAUUAAUA